GACGAACGCUGGCGGCGUGCUUAACACAUGCAAGUCGAGCGGUAAGGCCCUUUCGGGGUACGACGAGCGGCGAACGGGUGAGUAACACGUGGGUGACCUGCCCUUAGCUCUGGGAUAAGCCUGGGAAACGUGGGUCGUAAUACCGGAUAUGACUCCAUGACGCAUGUUGUGGGGUGGAAAGCCUUGUGCGGCUAGGGAUGGGCCCGCGGCCUAUCAGCUUGUUGGUGGGGUGAUGGCCUACCAAGGCGACGACGGGUAGCCGGCCUGAGAGGGCGACCGGCCACACUGGGACUGAGACACGGCCCAGACUCCUACGGGAGGCAGCAGUGGGGAAUCUUGCGCAAUGGGCGAAAGCCUGACGCAGCGACGCCGCGUGAGGGAUGACGGCC
This 389-nucleotide ribosomal RNA is filed under the name uncultured bacterium. RNAcentral describes it as "bacterial SSU rRNA". It matches the Rfam family "Bacterial small subunit ribosomal RNA", at positions 28 to 416 of the family's 1533-position model. The record is from RNAcentral.